This 393-nucleotide ribosomal RNA is filed under the name uncultured bacterium. Its description in RNAcentral is "bacterial SSU rRNA". It matches the Rfam family "Bacterial small subunit ribosomal RNA", at positions 28 to 424 of the family's 1533-position model. The record is from RNAcentral.
GAUGAACGCUAGCGGCAGGCUUAAUACAUGCAAGUCGAACGGCAGCACGGGGGCAACCCUGGUGGCGAGUGGCGGACGGGUGAGUAAUACAUCGGAACGUGCCCUGGAGUGGGGGAUAACGCAGCGAAAGCUACGCUAAUACCGCAUAUUCUGUGAGCAGGAAAGCAGGGGAUCGCAAGACCUUGCGCUUUGGGAGCGGCCGAUGUCGGAUUAGCUAGUUGGUGGGGUAAAGGCCUACCAAGGCGACGAUCCGUAGCGGGUCUGAGAGGAUGAUCCGCCACACUGGGACUGAGACACGGCCCAGACUCCUACGGGAGGCAGCAGUGGGGAAUUUUGGACAAUGGGCGGAAGCCUGAUCCAGCCAUGCCGCGUGAGUGAAGAAGGCCUCGGGUU